UACGUAGGGGGCAAGCGUUGUCCGGAAUCAUUGGGCGUAAAGCGCGCGUAGGCGGCCCGGUAAGUCCGCUGUGAAAGUCCAGGGCUCAACCCUGGAAAGCCGGUGGAUACUGCCGGGCUAGAGUCCGGAAGAGGCGAGUGGAAUUCCUGGUGUAGCGGUGGAAUGCGCAGAUAUCAGGAGGAACACCAAUGGCGAAGGCAGCUCGCUGGGACGGUACUGACGCUGAGGCGCGAAAGCGUGGGGAGCGAACAGG
Molecule: ribosomal RNA, 253 nt
Filed under: uncultured bacterium
Lineage: Bacteria
Description: partial 16S ribosomal RNA
Rfam family: Bacterial small subunit ribosomal RNA
Source: RNAcentral